RNAcentral lists this ribosomal RNA (164 nucleotides) under Poitea immarginata. Its description in RNAcentral is "5.8S ribosomal RNA". It matches the Rfam family "5.8S ribosomal RNA". Rfam says of the family: 5.8S ribosomal RNA (5.8S rRNA) is a component of the large subunit of the eukaryotic ribosome. The record is from RNAcentral. Lineage: Eukaryota; Viridiplantae; Streptophyta; Magnoliopsida; Fabales; Fabaceae.
UAUAAUGACUCUCGGCAACGGAUAUCUCGGCUCUUGCAUCGAUGAAGAACGUAGCGAAAUGCGAUACUUGGUGUGAAUUGCAGAAUCCCGUGAACCAUCGAGUCUUUGAACGCAAGUUGCGCCCGAAGCCAUUAGGUCGAGGGCACGUCUGCCUGGGUGUCACA